GGGCGUGUAGCUCAGUUGGUAGAGCGUGUCAUUAGCACUAGCAUCUAUCUACUUGACAAGGUCUUUGGUUCGAUUCCUAACUCGUCCA
Molecule: non-coding RNA, 88 nt
Organism: Apiotrichum porosum
Lineage: Eukaryota; Fungi; Basidiomycota; Tremellomycetes; Trichosporonales; Trichosporonaceae
Source: the annotation of a RefSeq genome assembly